UACGGAGGGUGCUAGCGUUGUUCGGAAUUACUGGGCGUAAAGCGCACGUAGGCGGCUUUGUAAGUUAGAGGUGAAAGCCCAGGGCUUAACCCUGGAAUUGCCUUUAAGACUGCAUCGCUAGAAUCGUGGAGAGGUGAGUGGAAUUCCGAGUGUAGAGGUGAAAUUCGUAGAUAUUCGGAAGAACACCAGUGGCGAAGGCGACUCACUGGACACGUAUUGACGCUGAGGUGCGAAAGCGUGGGGAGCAAACAGG
This 253-nucleotide ribosomal RNA is filed under the name uncultured bacterium. RNAcentral's name for it is "partial 16S ribosomal RNA". It matches the Rfam family "Bacterial small subunit ribosomal RNA", at positions 524 to 776 of the family's 1533-position model. The record is from RNAcentral.